GGUCCCGUAACUUAGUUGGUUAGAGCAUUGGUCUUAUGAGACGAAGAUUGUGAGUUCGAGCCUCGUCGGGACUG
This 74-nucleotide transfer RNA is filed under the name Jatropha curcas. It matches the Rfam family "tRNA". From Rfam's summary of the family: Transfer RNA (tRNA) molecules are approximately 80 nucleotides in length. Their secondary structure includes four short double-helical elements and three loops (D, anti-codon, and T loops). Lineage: Eukaryota; Viridiplantae; Streptophyta; Magnoliopsida; Malpighiales; Euphorbiaceae. The record is from Rfam by way of RNAcentral.